GACUAGGGGCGAAAGACUAAUCGAACCAUCUAGUAGCUGGUUCCCUCCGAAGUUUCUCUCAGGAUAGCAAGCACAGUUAAAGCAGUUUUUUUGUAUUUUUCUCAAUUAGGUAAAGAAUCAAUGAUUAGAAGCAUCUGGGGGCUUUAUUAGUGUUCUCGACUUAGUUCUCAAACUCUAAAUAUUUGUAAUAACUCGGUAUUCCUUAACUGAAGAUCGAGGCAGAAUGCUUGUGCUUAGUGGGCCAUUUUUGGUAAGCAGAACUGGCGAUGAGGGAUGAACCUAACUCUGAGUUAAGGUGGCCCAACUGCACGCGCAUCAGAUACCUUAAAGGGUGUGUUGAUUCAUUUAGACAGCAGGACGGUGGCCAUGGAAGUCGGAAUCCGCUAAGGAGUGUGUAACAACUCACCUGCCGAAUGAAUUAGCCCCGAAAAUUUUGAUGGCUCUCCAGCGUGCGACCGAUACUCAGACAUUGUAGCGAAAGUUUGACUGCAAUGAGUAGGAGAGGGCGUAGGCGUCUUGUUGAAGCUUUGAGCGUGAGCCUGAGUCGAAAGGCGUCUAGUGCAGAUCUUGGUGGUAGUAGCAAUUAUUCAAAUGAGAACUUUGAAGGCCGAAGUGGAGAAGGUUUCCAUGAGAACAGCAAUUGGUCAUGGGUGACUCGGUCCUAAGAUAUUGGUAAACGACCUUGCAAAUGGGCUUCGGCCCGCGAUCGAAGAAGGGAAAAUGAGGUUAAUAUUCAUCAAGCUGGCUAUGGAUGUCACGGCAACGUUUGUGAGCUCGGUGACACCGGCGCGUGCCUCUGGAAGAGUUAUCUUUUGUUUGUUAACAGCUAAGCGACCCUGAAAUCGGAUUACCCGGAGAUGAGGGUUGCAAAGCUGGAAUAGUGUAUGUUUUUAUUUUAGAUACAAAUAGAAGCGCUCGCGACGGUCCUUGAAAAUCCGAGUGAGGUAAUUUAUUCCAUACCAGGCCGUACCAAUAACCGCAUCAGGUCUCCAAGGUUAGCAGCCUCUGGUCGAUUAGAAUAAUGUAGAUAAGGGAAGUCGGCAAAUUAGAUCUGUAACUUCGGGAUAAGGAUUGGCUCUGAGGAUAUUAUUUAGUGUGGGAGAGCACCGGCGAUGACGGCCGAGCCAGGGGUGGUCUACUCGCUUCGGCGGGCGGAUCGCCUCUGAGCGACGCUCUGAUUCUGCCCGGAGCGCCUCCUGCACACGUUUAUGUUCGCAUAAUCACAAUCAACUCUGAACUGGAGCAGACUAGGGGAAUCCGACUGUUUAAUUAAAACAAAGUAUUGUGAUGGCCUCAGCAGGUGUUGACACAAUUUGAUUUCUGCCCAGUGCUCUGAAUGUCAAACUGGAGAUAAUAUAUAACACAAAUUCAAGCAAGCGCGGGUAAACGGCGGGAGUAACUAUGACUCUCUUAAGGUAGCUAAAUGCCUCGUCAUCUAAUUAGUGACGCGCAUGAAUGGAUUAACGAGAUUCCCAGUC
RNAcentral lists this ribosomal RNA (1478 nucleotides) under Ophryotrocha diadema. RNAcentral's name for it is "eukaryotic LSU rRNA". It matches the Rfam family "Eukaryotic large subunit ribosomal RNA", at positions 915 to 2341 of the family's 3401-position model. Lineage: Eukaryota; Metazoa; Annelida; Polychaeta; Eunicida; Dorvilleidae. The record is from RNAcentral.